AUUGAACGCUGGCGGAAUGCUUUACUCAUGCAAGUCGAACGGCAGCACGGGAGCUUGCUCCUGGUGGCGAGUGGCGAACGGGUGAGUAAUGCGUCGGAACGCACCGAGUAAUGGGGGAUAACGCGGCGAAAGUCGCGCUAAUACCGCAUACGCCCUGAGGGGGAAAGUGGGGGAUCGCAAGACCUCACGUUAUUCGAGCGGCCGACGUCUGAUUAGCUAGUUGGUGGGGUAAGGGCCUACCAAGGCGACGAUCAGUAGCGGGUCUGAGAGGAUGAUCCGCCACACUGGGACUGAGACACGGCCCAGACUCCUACGGGAGGCAGCAGUGGGGAAUUUUGGACAAUGGGGGCAACCCUGAUCCAGCCAUUCCGCGU
RNAcentral lists this ribosomal RNA (374 nucleotides) under uncultured bacterium. Its description in RNAcentral is "bacterial SSU rRNA". It matches the Rfam family "Bacterial small subunit ribosomal RNA", at positions 30 to 402 of the family's 1533-position model. The record is from RNAcentral.